Molecule: ribosomal RNA, 882 nt
Filed under: uncultured bacterium
Lineage: Bacteria
Description: bacterial SSU rRNA
Rfam family: Bacterial small subunit ribosomal RNA
Source: RNAcentral
UCCGGAUUUAUNGGGCGUAAAGGGAGCGCAGGCGGUCAGGAAANUCUGGAGUAAAAGGCUAUGGNUCAACCAUAGUGUGCUCUGGAAACUGUCUGACUUGAGUGCAGAAGGGGAGAGUGGAAUUCCAUGUGUAGCGGUGAAAUGCGUAGAUAUAUGGAGGANCACCAGUGGCGAAAGCGGCUCUCUGGUCUGUCACUGACGCUGAGGCUCGAAAGCGUGGGUAGCGAACAGGAUUAGAUACCCUGGUAGUCCACGCCGUAAACGAUGAGUGCUAGGUGUUAGGCCCUUUCCGGGGCUUAGUGCCGGAGCUAACGCAAUAAGCACUCCGCCUGGGGAGUACGACCGCAAGGUUGAAACUCAAAGGAAUUGACGGGGGCCCGCACAAGCGGUGGAGCAUGUGGUUUAAUUCGAAGCAACGCGAAGAACCUUACCAGGUCUUGACAUCCCGAUGCUAUUCUUAGAGAUAGGAAGUUACUUCGGUACAUCGGAGACAGGUGGUGCAUGGUUGUCGUCAGCUCGUGUCGUGAGAUGUUGGGUUAAGUCCCGCAACGAGCGCAACCCUUAUUGUUAGUUGCCAUCAUUAAGUUGGGCACUCUAGCGAGACUGCCGGUAAUAAACCGGAGGAAGGUGGGGAUGACGUCAAAUCAUCAUGCCCCUUAUGACCUGGGCUACACACGUGCUACAAUGGUCGGUACAACGAGUUGCGAGCCGGUGACGGCAAGCUAAUCUCUGAAAGCCGAUCUCAGUUCGGAUUGGAGGCUGCAACUCGCCUCCAUGAAGUCGGAAUCGCUAGUAAUCGCGGAUCAGCACGCCGCGGUGAAUACGUUCCCGGGCCUUGUACACACCGCCCGUCACACCACGAGAGUUUGUAACACCCGAAGU